GAUGAACGCUGGCGGCGUGCCUAAUACAUGCAAGUCGAGCGAACAGACGAGGAGCUUGCUCCUCUGACGUUAGCGGCGGACGGGUGAGUAACACGUGGAUAACCUACCUAUAAGACUGGGAUAACUUCGGGAAACCGGAGCUAAUACCGGAUAAUAUAUUGAACCGCAUGGUUCAAUAGUGAAAGACGGUUUUGCUGUCACUUAUAGAUGGAUCCGCGCCGCAUUAGCUAGUUGGUAAGGUAACGGCUUACCAAGGCAACGAUGCGUAGCCGACCUGAGAGGGUGAUCGGCCACACUGGAACUGAGACACGGUCCAGACUCCUACGGGAGGCAGCAGUAGGGAAUCUUCCGCAAUGGGCGAAAGCCUGACGGAGCAACGCCGCGUGAGUGAUGAAGGUCUUCGGAUCGUAAAGCUCUGUUGUUAGGGAAGAACAAAUGUGUAAGUAACUAUGCACGUCUUGACGGUACCUGAACAGAAAGCCACGGCUAACUACGUG
RNAcentral lists this ribosomal RNA (497 nucleotides) under uncultured bacterium. Its description in RNAcentral is "partial 16S ribosomal RNA". It matches the Rfam family "Bacterial small subunit ribosomal RNA", at positions 28 to 507 of the family's 1533-position model. The record is from RNAcentral.